This 1337-nucleotide ribosomal RNA is filed under the name uncultured bacterium. Its description in RNAcentral is "bacterial SSU rRNA". It matches the Rfam family "Bacterial small subunit ribosomal RNA", at positions 40 to 1379 of the family's 1533-position model. The record is from RNAcentral.
CGGCGUGCUUAACACAUGCAAGUCGAACGAAGCAUCCGGAAGUUUUCGGACGGAAGGAUGACUGAGUGGCGGACGGGUGAGUAACGCGUGGGUAACCUGCCUCAUACAGGGGGAUAACAGUUAGAAAUGACUGCUAAUACCGCAUAAGCGCACAGGACCGCAUGGUCCGGUGUGAAAAACUCCGGUGGUAUGAGAUGGACCCGCGUCUGAUUAGCUAGUUGGUGAGGUAACGGCCCACCAAGGCGACGAUCAGUAGCCGACCUGAGAGGGUGACCGGCCACAUUGGGACUGAGACACGGCCCAAACUCCUACGGGAGGCAGCAGUGGGGAAUAUUGCACAAUGGGCGAAAGCCUGAUGCAGCGACGCCGCGUGAGUGAAGAAGUAUUUCGGUAUGUAAAGCUCUAUCAGCAGGGAAGAAAAUGACGGUACCUGACUAAGAAGCACCGGCUAAAUACGUGCCAGCAGCCGCGGUAAUACGUAUGGUGCAAGCGUUAUCCGGAUUUACUGGGUGUAAAGGGAGCGUAGGCGGUCUAGCAAGCCAGAAGUGAAAACCCGGGGCUCAACCCCGCGGAUUGCUUUUGGAACUGUCAGACUGGAGUACUGGAGAGGUAAGUGGAAUUCCUGGUGUAGCGGUGAAAUGCGUAGGAUAUCAGGAGGAACGCCGGGUGGCGAAGGGGACUUUCUGGACAGAAACUGACGCUGAGGCUUGAAAGCGUGGGGAGCAAACAGGAAUUAAAUACCCCUGGUAGUCCCCCCGGUAAACGAUGAAUACUAGUGUUCUGCGGGCAUAGCCCGUAGGUGCCGCCGCAAACGCAAUAAGUAUUCCACCUGGGGAGUACGUUCGCAAGAAUGAAACUCAAAGGAAUUGACGGGGACCCGCACAAGCGGUGGAGCAUGUGGUUUAAUUCGAAGCAACGCGAAGAACCUUACCAAAUCUUGACAUCCCGCUGACGUACCCUUAAUCGGGUAUUCUCUUCGGAGCAGUGGAGACAGGUGGUGCAUGGUUGUCGUCAGCUCGUGUCGUGAGAUGUUGGGUUAAGUCCCGCAACGAGCGCAACCCCUGUCCUUAGUAGCCAGCACGUAGAGGUGGGCACUCUAGGGAGACUGCCGGGGAUAACCCGGAGGAAGGUGGGGAUGACGUCAAAUCAUCAUGCCCCUUAUGAUUUGGGCUACACACGUGCUACAAUGGCGUGGAACAAAGGGAAGCGAGUCUGUGAGGAGGAGCAAACCCCAAAAAACACGUCUCAGUUCGGAUUGUAGUCUGCAACUCGACUACAUGAAGCUGGAAUCGCUAGUAAUCGCGAAUCAGAAUGUCGCGGUGAAUACGUUCCCGGGU